ACUCACUCAAUUCUUUGUUGCAAACGUUAAUAAAAUCAGAGGGAGAAAAGCUUGUUGCCAUUAUUAUGAUCAGGAAUUUUCAUACCCACGCAAAUGACGCAGUCUACGUGGGUGUUUUGCUUGCAUAGCUAUUUCAGAUGGAGAAGAGUCAGCACUCUUGUAAUAAUGUUUCAUUUGAAUUUCUAUUUCAGAGAGUGAUUUGAUACAUUUCACCUUUCAAUUUCCAUAGUCCGUGGCUCCGUGCUACAACACACACGCUGUCACUGGCAGAACAUAAUGAUAAGUUGUCUGUUUUCAAUAAGAAAAUCAAAAAAUAUAACUUGUUAUAUUCAAGAUAUUCAAGAGCUGAAGUCCCACACUCCAAUAGAACAUGUUGAUUAUGCAGCACUGUCUGAAAUAGGAACUGAAUUGGCACAAAGGUGUGACAGAUGAAAAGUCCUAUUCUGAAAACAUUCGUAACGUCCUUAAAAUAGAGUCCAAGAUAGAAGGAGGUUGCCCUGUUUUGUUAGACAAGGAGCAGGCAUUAGUUAGAAAGGGUAUUCUCUGUAUCUGGAGACAGGAUGAUAAACUGCUCACUUUCUCCAGAAAGACAAGAAGGAGGCAGAACUAUUGCUUCCUGUUUUCAAAGCAUUUCCUAGUGACACAGAGAGUAGAGAAGAAAGGAGAAGAGGGAUACCGUCUGUUGAAAGAGAAUGGGUUACUGUCACUCGCUAAAUGUAGGAUACAUGAAUAUGCCCUCCCUGAGUAUCCAGAGUUACGUUUUCUCAGUUUUGGUCUUGAGAUUGAUGAUGGUUCACAGAGUCAGUCCAAACAGAAGUUGAUAUUUAUUGCAAUGUCAGUGGCAGAGAAGGCACAGUGGAUAGCUGAUAUUGC
Molecule: long non-coding RNA, 873 nt
Organism: Amphimedon queenslandica
Lineage: Eukaryota; Metazoa; Porifera; Demospongiae; Haplosclerida; Niphatidae
Exons: 6
Source: RefSeq, a predicted model, not a curated record